GUUCAAAAAACAAUAACAUGUUUAUUCUAAUAAAAGAGGCUCUUGCAUAACCUCCUGAUGAUUCUGGGUCUGAUUCUCCUUUGUGAGCUAGAAGAGAGAACUUGGCCUCCUUCCUUAUCUGAACCCUCCUUCCCCUUGAGAUAGGCCCCGCAGCUCCGCAGCUCCUGCUCCGUCCUCGGGCUCCUCCCUGCCACGGGCCCUGCAGGUCCCCUGCUAGUGCUGUGGAAGUGGAAGCUGGGUGGGGGGCCUGCAAGGUGUUUCCAAACCCCGAGGCCUCGCCACGGCCCGGCCCCACCCCUCGGCCCUUCUCUCGCUUCCCGUCCCAGCCUGCCAUGAGGGGGCAGGGCGCCGGCCUAACCACAGAGCGCUUCCUCCUUCUGCACAGAGCGGCGAUCGCGGGCCCAGGCAGGCAGUGCCCGCCGUCCGUCCGGGCGCCCCCAUCGCCAGGGCUCCCCCUGCGUCCUUGGCAGCAGCAUGUCGCCCGGGCCGCCCCGCGGGGCUCCCCCUCCGCCAUCCACCGAAGCCGGAGCCGUGGCUGUGAUGGUGCUCCUCCUCCUGCUGGCCCUGACGCCUCCGGGGGAUGCGCAGCCCCCUGGGAGCAGCCAGGCUCCGCGGCGAUGGGGCCCAGCGUCAGACAACCAAGAGCCCUUGGUGGCCCGAGCCAAGAGGUCUGACCUAGACUUUGAAGAGGAUUAUGCCAUCUACGAGACCCCGUCGCCCGAGCUGUUGGACGGAGACAACGCGACCACCCCGGGGCCAGCCGUCGUGGUCGAGGGAACGCAGCCGGAGGCCACGGGGGCCCCUGGAGCCACGGACUCGGUGGAGAUCCCCACCACGGCCCCCGAGGCCCCGGGAACACAGCCGGCUGCUGAGGAGACGACCACCGAGGCCGCAGCAGGGACCAGCCGUCCUCCCCUGACGGGGGAGCCAACUCCGGCUCUGCCCACUGAAGGGCAGCGGGGCCCCCACGACCUCCCGACGGAGAGGGGGACGACGGAGGCGCCUCUCACGGAGGAGGCCCCUUCCACGGCCCUGAGUCCGGGGUCCAGUCCAGGGGUGGUGGGCACGGAUGCGGCGGUGAGCGCUACCACGGAGGAACCAGCCGCAGACCCACGAGGCACAUUCCGGGCUUUGACCUUUGUCACAGAGGAGCCAGAGACCGCCCCGAGUACCGAGCAGCGGCUCACAGACUCUCCGGCCACUGGGGAGCCCCCAGCCUU
RNAcentral lists this long non-coding RNA (1220 nucleotides) under Monodelphis domestica (gray short-tailed opossum). RNAcentral describes it as "lncRNA (ENSMODG00000031281.2)". Lineage: Eukaryota; Metazoa; Chordata; Mammalia; Didelphimorphia; Didelphidae. The record is from RNAcentral.